This 448-nucleotide ribosomal RNA is filed under the name uncultured bacterium. Its description in RNAcentral is "bacterial SSU rRNA". It matches the Rfam family "Bacterial small subunit ribosomal RNA", at positions 30 to 507 of the family's 1533-position model. The record is from RNAcentral.
AUUGAACGCUGGCGGCAUGGCUAAGACAUGCAAGUCGAACGAUGAAGACCCCUUCCGGGGGUGUAUGAAGUGGCGAAAGGGCGAGGAAUACAUUCCUACGUGCCUCGAGGUCAGGGAUAGCCCAGGGAAACCUGGAGUAAUACCUGAUGUGGUCUACGGAUCAAAGGCUUGCUGCCUUGAGAGCGGGGAAUGUCCUAUCAGGUUGUUGGUGAGGUAAAGGCUCACCAAGCCUAAGACGGGUAGCGGGUGGUGAGAGCAUGACCCGCCGCAUCGGGACUGAGACACUGCCCGGACUCCUACGGGAGGCUGCAGUAACGAAUAUUCCGCAAUGCGCGAAAGCGUGACGGAGCAAUGCCGCGUGCAGGAUGAAGCCUUUCGGGGUGUAAACUGCUGUCAGGGUACAGGAACACAAUGACCAUACCCAAAGGAAGGGCCGGCUAACUUCGUG